Long non-coding RNA from Canis lupus familiaris (dog), 813 nucleotides. RefSeq lists it as uncharacterized. The record is from RefSeq and is a predicted model, not a curated record. The transcript has 4 exons. NCBI's taxonomy places the organism in Eukaryota, Metazoa, Chordata, Mammalia, Carnivora, Canidae.
GGAAGAUCAUCUGCUUCCAGACCACAGUUGACCAAGAGUAAUUAAAACAUGGAAAGCAAAAGAGCAGAGAAGAGUUUUUAGUUUUUAUUUCAUAUAUUUUGCAGCUAUAUUGUUUGAUACACACAUUUAAGGUUGAUGAUGUCUUCUUGAGGAUUGACCUCUUGUAUCAUCAUAUGGUAAUGAUAAGUUUCAUUGGUAACAUGGUAAUUUCUCAGGUAAUUUUCUUUGCUCUGUAGUCUAAUUUAGCUGAUGUUAAUAUAACCAUGCUUGCUUUUUGUUAUUAAUGUUUACAUGACAUAUCUUUUUUCCAUCCUGUAGUGAGUUGAAUGGUGUUCCCCAAAAUGAUAUACCCAUGACCUAAAAGCUGAAUGUGACCAUAUUUGGAAAAAGAGUCUUUGCAGACGUAAUGAAGUUAAGGGUAUUGAGAUGAGGUCAUCCUAAAUUUUGUGGAUGUACCCUAAAUCAAAUGACAAGUGUCUUUAUAUCAGACAGAAGAGAAAAAGGAGAAGGACAUGUGAAGACAGAGAUUAGAGGGGAAUCAGGAUGGAGAAGGCAGGAUGGAGGGACCAAAGGCCAGAAGCCCUAGCCUGAGAAGACACAGGGACUGGAAUGGAGUUAUGGUUACUCGUGACUUGGAGCACAGCCUUCAUGGGGAUUGAAGUUAGUUCAAAGGUAUCACUGUGAACUACAUAAAGAAAAGAGAGAGAGCAAGAUGGAGUAAGGAUCCUGAGAUGGAGGGUAGCAAACCACUGGUUUGGGUCUGGCACAAUGCCUAACGUGUAUUAGGAGUGCAGCAAAUUUGAGGUGAAUAAA